Molecule: long non-coding RNA, 1874 nt
Filed under: Equus caballus (horse)
Lineage: Eukaryota; Metazoa; Chordata; Mammalia; Perissodactyla; Equidae
Description: lncRNA (ENSECAG00000035269.2)
Source: RNAcentral
ACUAUGAGAACUUCUGCUGUAGGCGCUCAUUUGUCCAUGGCGUAGCCAGGUGGACGUGCUUCAAAGAGCUGUGAGAAUCCAGGAAGACAUCUCACCUCAGAAGGGUGCAGCUGGGUUCUAUCCAUGUCAUCGACUUCUAGACUUACGACUAAGACCCGUGCUUUCUGUCACAACCACGAAGAGAAGGAUCCCCUAGAGGAAGAUUAGCCCUGAGCUAACUACUGCCAGUCCUCCUCUAUUUUCGCAGAGGAAGACUGGCCCUGAGCUAACAUCCAUGCCCAUCAUCCUCUACUUUAUAUGUGGGAUGUCUACCACAGCAUGGCGUGCCAAGCGGUGCCAUGUCCGCACCCAGGAUCCGAACCAGCGAACACUGGGCCGCCGAGAAGCGGGAAGUGCAAACUUAACCGCUGCACCACUGGGCUGUUCCCCCCAAGAAUUCUUUUUUCAAAGGUGUGAAAGCCCCCGCUCACCAGCCUGCCUUCGCUUGACAAAUGAUGAAGAUAAUGAAAGUGAAGGUGCAGAGCGGAACGGCCAAGACAGUCUGGGCACGUCUCUCAUCACCACCUGUUUGGUGAGCUUGUGUUUAUUCCCCGCCUUUGAAGGGCUGGCAGGCUGUGUGAACGUGAACUGGGCCUGGGCCUGCGAACACCCAGAUCCCGGAGCAAAUCGAGGUGGGAAGACAGAUAAAGGAAAUGCUUUCAAACAAUAUUGCUUUCUCUAAUUAGUGCAGACAGAGAGCCCCCCGAGGAGUUUCAGGUGACCUCAGCCUUGCGAGGCGCAGAGAAGUCUGCAUUCCUAGGUCCUUCUGUUUGAGACUCUACUGAGAGGCUUCAGGCUGCACUGUGCACAACCUCUUACGGUCAGGCCCUGCAAGCUUAUGCUGCUUCACCUUCCCUUUGCAUACCGUGGAGGAAAAAUCAUAAUGCUCACUGUGGGCCAAAGCCUUUGUUAUGCUCAGGGCUUCGGAAGAUUGGAUUACUACAACACUACGGAAGAGAAAACUGAGGUUCACAGAGGCUAGCAACUCUCCAAGGCCCCACAGCAGAUAUCUCAUCUAGUCGGAACUUGCUCCUAGGCCUGUCUGGCUCUCAGCUGCCACACCACGCUGCCUCCCUUGAGGAAAGGAUGGUUGAUGUGGGAUAUGUUGGAACAAUGCAGCCUCCUGAAAUCAGCUUUGCCUUUAAAGACAGAAGUGACAGGGGCCAAAGAGUGCACAGGACUGGCUGGACAGGGUUAGGAGUCACAUGUGUCAGGUCCUAGUUGGACUGGACCACUCCCUGACCACAAGAGCUCUAGACAACCACUGGAACUUUCUGAGCUCACGUCCUCAUCUGGAAAUGGAGCAAACACCCUCUGCCCUUUCCACUUUACAGGAUGAUUCUGAAGGAGGUUUGUGGACUGAAAAGUACUUUAUGACUGUAAGGGCUUCCUGGAUGAGACAUUUUCAAAAAAGAGCUGUGAUUACAGGAGUAACGUAGGCAUAUUUUGUUUUCUUAUGAUAGGUCCCUGAUGUGUUUUUAGAUAUGUUAAACUUUCACAGAGUCUCAUCUUCAAAAACACAGUCCUGUAAGAUCCUAGGCUUUUUUAUGUCUGAGUUAUAACGAAUAAAUGAACACCAAUCCUUGUAGCGGGCAGAAGCAACUUCCUUGAAAGUCUUCUCGUGGUGGGUGUUCUGGCUCAAACGCUUCCCAGUCUGGUUAGAUAAAAAAAAUUUAGUAUGACCUUCUUUUGUAUUGUUUAUUGGCCAAUACGUUUCAUGCCUCAUUUGCCCUCAAAUUCACAUUUUUAUUCACCAGAGUAUUUGCUCUGCCUUUGUGUGUGCGUGUGUGUGUGUAUGCCUGUGCGUGUGUGUGCUCAUGUGCUCACUACACAGU